UUUGCUGACGAGUGGCGGACGGGUGAGUAAUGUCUGGGAAACUGCCUGAUGGAGGGGGAUAACUACUGGAAACGGUAGCUAAUACCGCAUAACGUCGCAAGACCAAAGAGGGGGACCUUCGGGCCUCUUGCCAUCGGAUGUGCCCAGAUGGGAUUAGCUAGUAGGUGGGGUAACGGCUCACCUAGGCGACGAUCCCUAGCUGGUCUGAGAGGAUGACCAGCCACACUGGAACUGAGACACGGUCCAGACUCCUACGGGAGGCAGCAGUGGGGAAUAUUGCACAAUGGGCGCAAGCCUGAUGCAGCCAUGCCGCGUGUAUGAAGAAGGCCUUCGGGUUGUAAAGUACUUUCAGCGGGGAGGAAGGGAGUAAAGUUAAUACCUUUGCUCAUUGACGUUACCCGCAGAAGAAGCACCGGCUAACUCCGUGCCAGCAGCCGCGGUAAUACGGAGGGUGCAAGCGUUAAUCGGAAUUACUGGGCGUAAAGCGCACGCAGGCGGUUUGUUAAGUCAGAUGUGAAAUCCCCGGGCUCAACCUGGGAACUGCAUCUGAUACUGGCAAGCUUGAGUCUCGUAGAGGGGGGUAGAAUUCCAGGUGUAGCGGUGAAAUGCGUAGAGAUCUGGAGGAAUACCGGUGGCGAAGGCGGCCCCCUGGACGAAGACUGACGCUCAGGUGCGAAAGCGUGGGGGAGCAAACAGGAUUAGAUACCCUGGUAGUCCACGCCGUAAACGAUGUCGACUUGGAGGUUGUGCCCUUGAGGCGUGGCUUCCGGGAGCUAACGCGUUAAGUCGACCGCCUGGGGAGUACGGCCGCAAGGUUAAACUCAAAUGAAUUGACGGGGGCCCGCACA
Molecule: ribosomal RNA, 848 nt
Filed under: Escherichia coli
Lineage: Bacteria; Pseudomonadati; Pseudomonadota; Gammaproteobacteria; Enterobacterales; Enterobacteriaceae
Description: bacterial SSU rRNA
Rfam family: Bacterial small subunit ribosomal RNA
Source: RNAcentral